GCCAGACUCCUACGGGAGGCAGCAGUGGGGAAUAUUGCACAAUGGGGGAAACCCUGAUGCAGCGACGCCGCGUGAGUGAAGAAGUAUCUCGGUAUGUAAAGCUCUAUCAGCAGGGAAGAAAAUGACGGUACCUGACUAAGAAGCCCCGGCUAACUACGUGCCAGCAGCCGCGGUAAUACGUAGGGGGCAAGCGUUAUCCGGAUUUACUGGGUGUAAAGGGAGCGUAGACGGUUAUGUAAGUCUGGAGUGAAAGCCCGGGGCCCAACCCCGGGACUGCUUUGGAAACUGUGUAACUGGAGUACAGGAGGGGCAGGCGGAAUUCCUGGUGUAGCGGUGAAAUGCGUAGAUAUCAGGAGGAACACCGGCGGCGAAGGCGGCCUGCUGGACUGAAACUGACGUUGAGGCUCGAAAGCGUGGGGAGCAAACAGGAUUAGAUACCCUUGUAGG
Molecule: ribosomal RNA, 447 nt
Filed under: uncultured bacterium
Lineage: Bacteria
Description: bacterial SSU rRNA
Rfam family: Bacterial small subunit ribosomal RNA
Source: RNAcentral